AGCAGUAGCCGCGGUAAUACGUAGGGUGCAAACGUUAAUCGGAAUUACUGGGCGUAAAGCGUGCGCAGGCGGUUCGUUAAGACAGAUGUGAAAUCCCCGGGCUUAACCUGGGAACUGCAUUUGUGACUGGCGGGCUAGAGUAUGGCAGAGGGGGGUAGAAUUCCACGUGUAGCAGUGAAAUGCGUAGAGAUGUGGAGGAAUACCGAUGGCGAAGGCAGCCCCCUGGGAUAGCACUGACGUUCAUGCCCGAAAGCGUGGGUAGCAAACAGGAUUAGAUACCCGCGUAGUCCCUGUCUCUUAUAA
This 303-nucleotide ribosomal RNA is filed under the name uncultured bacterium. RNAcentral's name for it is "partial 16S ribosomal RNA". It matches the Rfam family "Bacterial small subunit ribosomal RNA", at positions 507 to 809 of the family's 1533-position model. The record is from RNAcentral.